RNAcentral lists this ribosomal RNA (428 nucleotides) under Babesia microti. RNAcentral describes it as "SSU rRNA". It matches the Rfam family "Eukaryotic small subunit ribosomal RNA", at positions 562 to 1040 of the family's 1831-position model. The record is from RNAcentral. Lineage: Eukaryota; Apicomplexa; Aconoidasida; Piroplasmida; Babesiidae.
UGGUGCCAGCAGCCGCGGUAAUUCCAGCUCCAAUAGCGUAUAUUAAACUUGUUGCAGUUAAAAAGCUCGUAGUUGUAUUUUUGCGUUGACGGUUUGACCAUUUGGUUGGUUAUUUCGUUUUCGCUUUUGGGAAUUUCCCUUUUUACUUUGAGAAAAUUAGAGUGUUUCAAGCAGACUUUUGUCUUGAAUACUUCAGCAUGGAAUAAUAGAGUAGGACUUUGGUUCUAUUUUGUUGGUUAUUGAACCUUAGUAAUGGUUAAUAGGAACGGUUGGGGGCAUUCGUAUUUAACUGUCAGAGGUGAAAUUCUUAGAUUUGUUAAAGACGAACUACUGCGAAAGCAUUUGCCAAGGACGUUUCCAUUAAUCAAGAACGAAAGUUAGGGGAUCGAAGACGAUCAGAUACCGUCGUAGUCCUAACCAUAAACUAA